RNAcentral lists this ribosomal RNA (1118 nucleotides) under Salmonella enterica. RNAcentral describes it as "bacterial SSU rRNA". It matches the Rfam family "Bacterial small subunit ribosomal RNA", at positions 1 to 1108 of the family's 1533-position model. Lineage: Bacteria; Pseudomonadati; Pseudomonadota; Gammaproteobacteria; Enterobacterales; Enterobacteriaceae. The record is from RNAcentral.
AAAUUGAAGAGUUUGAUCAUGGCUCAGAUUGAACGCUGGCGGCAGGCCUAACACAUGCAAGUCGAACGGUAACAGGAAGCAGCUUGCUGCUUCGCUGACGAGUGGCGGACGGGUGAGUAAUGUCUGGGAAACUGCCUGAUGGAGGGGGAUAACUACUGGAAACGGUGGCUAAUACCGCAUAACGUCGCAAGACCAAAGAGGGGGACCUUCGGGCCUCUUGCCAUCAGAUGUGCCCAGAUGGGAUUAGCUUGUUGGUGAGGUAACGGCUCACCAAGGCGACGAUCCCUAGCUGGUCUGAGAGGAUGACCAGCCACACUGGAACUGAGACACGGUCCAGACUCCUACGGGAGGCAGCAGUGGGGAAUAUUGCACAAUGGGCGCAAGCCUGAUGCAGCCAUGCCGCGUGUAUGAAGAAGGCCUUCGGGUUGUAAAGUACUUUCAGCGGGGAGGAAGGUGUUGCGGUUAAUAACCGCAGCAAUUGACGUUACCCGCAGAAGAAGCACCGGCUAACUCCGUGCCAGCAGCCGCGGUAAUACGGAGGGUGCAAGCGUUAAUCGGAAUUACUGGGCGUAAAGCGCACGCAGGCGGUCUGUCAAGUCGGAUGUGAAAUCCCCGGGCUCAACCUGGGAACUGCAUUCGAAACUGGCAGGCUUGAGUCUUGUAGAGGGGGGUAGAAUUCCAGGUGUAGCGGUGAAAUGCGUAGAGAUCUGGAGGAAUACCGGUGGCGAAGGCGGCCCCCUGGACAAAGACUGACGCUCAGGUGCGAAAGCGUGGGGAGCAAACAGGAUUAGAUACCCUGGUAGUCCACGCCGUAAACGAUGUCUACUUGGAGGUUGUGCCCUUGAGGUGUGGCUUCCGGAGCUAACGCGUUAAGUAGACCGCCUGGGGAGUACGGCCGCAAGGUUAAAACUCAAAUGAAUUGACGGGGGCCCGCACAAGCGGUGGAGCAUGUGGUUUAAUUCGAUGCAACGCGAAGAACCUUACCUGGUCUUGACAUCCACAGAAGAAUCCAGAGAUGGAUUUGUGCCUUCGGGAACUGUGAGACAGGUGCUGCAUGGCUGUCGUCAGCUCGUGUUGUGAAAUGUUGGGUUAAGUCCCGCAACGAGCGCAACCCUUAU